AUUAAAUUUUUUUUUUUCUGCUCAGAUUGAACGCUGGCGGCAGGCCUAACACAUGCAAGUCGAGCGGUAGCACAGAGAGCUUGCUCUCGGGUGACGAGCGGCGGACGGGUGAGUAAUGUCUGGGAAACUGCCUGAUGGAGGGGGAUAACUACUGGAAACGGUAGCUAAUACCGCAUAAUGUCGCAAGACCAAAGUGGGGGACCUUCGGGCCUCAUGCCAUCAGAUGUGCCCAGAUGGGAUUAGCUAGUAGGUGGGGUAACGGCUCACCUAGGCGACGAUCCCUAGCUGGUCUGAGAGGAUGACCAGCCACACUGGAACUGAGACACGGUCCAGACUCCUACGGGAGGCAGCAGUGGGGAAUAUUGCACAAUGGGCGCAAGCCUGAUGCAGCCAUGCCGCGUGUGUGAAGAAGGCCUUCGGGUUGUAAAGCACUUUCAGCGGGGAGGAAGGCGGUGAGGUUAAUAACCUUGUCGAUUGACGUUACCCGCAGAAGAAGCACCGGCUAACUCCGUGCCAGCAGCCGCGGUAAUACGGAGGGUGCAAGCGUUAAUCGGAAUUACUGGGCGUAAAGCGCACGCAGGCGGUCUGUCAAGUCGGAUGUGAAAUCCCCGGGCUCAACCUGGGAACUGCAUUCGAAACUGGCAGGCUAGAGUCUUGUAGAGGGGGGUAGAAUUCCAGGUGUAGCGGUGAAAUGCGUAGAGAUCUGGAGGAAUACCGGUGGCGAAGGCGGCCCCCUGGACAAAGACUGACGCUCAGGUGCGAAAGCGUGGGGAGCAAACAGGAUUAGAUACCCUGGUAGUCCACGCCGUAAACGAUGUCGAUUUGGAGGUUGUGCCCUUGAGGCGUGGCUUCCGGAGCUAACGCGUUAAAUCGACCGCCC
This 880-nucleotide ribosomal RNA is filed under the name Salmonella enterica subsp. enterica serovar India. RNAcentral's name for it is "bacterial SSU rRNA". It matches the Rfam family "Bacterial small subunit ribosomal RNA", at positions 1 to 874 of the family's 1533-position model. Lineage: Bacteria; Pseudomonadati; Pseudomonadota; Gammaproteobacteria; Enterobacterales; Enterobacteriaceae. The record is from RNAcentral.